ACCUGUUUCACGGGACAAUGGAUGGAGUUUAAUUCUUAUAUUGCAUACACGGAAAGAUCACAACCUUGGCUUGCACAAAUAAAAACGUAAGCAUAUUUAUGGAUCAUUUGAGCAAAACGAGUUGGGCAUAGUAAUCAACCACACAUCUAUCGAUUUAAUGAAACCAUAGGCACACGUUAGUCGCAGGAACACCAAUUAAGCUACAGAUCGAACCUACUAUGCUUAUAAAAUUUGGGGCAACAGAUUAUAUGUAGUACUAAAAUUAGUAAAAAAGAGCGAUGAAGUGUAGAGACUGGUCACCUGAUUAAGGGAAAAGCCGGGUGGGGGCGAUGGUUUGGCUGUUGGAACUCCUGGAAGGGGAUCUGGGAGCGAGCGUGCCCUGAUCCAACGAGCAUAUCACCUGACAAAAACGGAUCAAGCCAACAAACGAGUAUAGGCAUUGAGUUGGGUGAGAGAGGAUUAUAAAUAUCUCCGGAGGAAACCAGACAUCCACCGGCGUCUCUGCAGCCCGUCGAUGGUUGGUUGUGCAGCAGCGUUUGGGUAGGCGGCUCGCCGCUGCACAUAAUUGACCAACCCUGAGCAUCUGAAUCCAUAACGCGAGGACUGUGGUAGAGAUGCCCAUGCAGGAUCGUGAAAACGAGUAUCAGCGGCGACCGUGGUAUAACGGCAGGAGAGGAUCUGGCAGGGUCGUAUUGCUAUCCGGGGGAGAGGAUUUGGAAGAAGCGCAUUACUAGCGAGGAGAUUAUGGGGAUUGUGGGGAAAUAAAAAGAACGGAGCAUAAGUGAAGUUAAAUAACGCGACUUGUCUUAUCUCUCCACUCGCGCAGGAAGUGGGAGGUUUGUUUCCUUGAAGCGCAUCGCUAGUCCGUUGCAAGAUAUGCGUAGCUAUAUGGGGGUUCGUGGUGUAGUGAAUGCACCUAAUGCAUGGUGAUCUGGAAAGUUCAUUUUGGUUGUUCUGGAUCGGACUACCAUUUUUUCAUCACCACUCAAUGCUUGGAUGGGUCGGUAAUAGGUUUAGAUUUGUAGUGAUUUCAGCAUAAUACGAUGUCAGAUUCCCGUUUGUUCAUUGUUUCAGUUUUUAAACUUGAAUUUUAAUAUUCCUACAUAUAUUAGUUUGCUUUGCCGAGCCUUGAAAUUUACUUCCUUGCAGCAAUUAUUUGAACUGGUUUAAGGCGUGAUCAGAAGUCCUCCAGCUUAUGGAUUCCCGAAACUCCGGCGUGGAGCAGUGCCAAAAAGUGUAGAUUCAUGGAGCCAGAUUUGAGAAGCCUGCCCAAUUUGAUGUACAAAUAUACAUUUAUAGGUGGAUCUGAUUAAAGGGGCAUUGGCACCAUUGGCAUCUUGAUGGCAGAGCAAUGAUGCGCAUCCACUGGUUAUAGAGAGAUAUGAGGUCAAUUAUAUCAGUGCAAAUAUUAAGAAGGUGCAUCAAAAGUAUGGAACUGUGUGCGCUGCCGACUUCACUCACCACUAUAAAGCUUUGGCCCUAAUAAGACCAGUUCAUAUUAACACUAUGUGUACCUGUCUCACCUAUCUAUCCUGUUUCGUAAGAUCAGGUUUUUGAACACAUGUAUCUAUUUGGUAGAUCACCGGUGGUUCUUUCCAUAUAGCUUCAGCACUGGCGCGGCGUGCCGCCGCGCCCUUCUUUUGCUAGUAUUAGACUAUGUUUCUACUUCACAACAAGCUUCCAUUUCUCGAUGUAUCCUAUUCUGAAGGUAGACCCUAUUGUCUUUCUCUUUUCUUGCACUUCAUUUGCUAAUUGGUAGUAUUGAAAAGAGAGGUGGCGAAACUCUUGAAGGAUAGAAGGGGUACACUGUUUUUGUGGUCAUAUAUAGACUCUUAGCGUAUAUUGUGUUGAAAACUCUUCACGAAGGGUUGUUGAGUAUAUUGAUCACAUA
This is a long non-coding RNA of Lolium perenne, 1891 nucleotides long. RefSeq lists it as uncharacterized. NCBI's taxonomy places the organism in Eukaryota, Viridiplantae, Streptophyta, Magnoliopsida, Poales, Poaceae. The record is from RefSeq and is a predicted model, not a curated record.